AGCAGCGUGGCUCAGUGGAAAGAGCACGGGCUUGGGAGUCAGAGGUCAUGGGUUCAAAUCCCGGCUCUGCCA
Ornithorhynchus anatinus (platypus) is the source of this 72-nucleotide non-coding RNA. NCBI's taxonomy places the organism in Eukaryota, Metazoa, Chordata, Mammalia, Monotremata, Ornithorhynchidae. The record is from Rfam.